RNAcentral lists this Y RNA (101 nucleotides) under Prolemur simus (greater bamboo lemur). RNAcentral's name for it is "Y RNA (ENSPSMG00000015232.1)". It matches the Rfam family "Y RNA". From Rfam's summary of the family: Y RNAs are components of the Ro ribonucleoprotein particle (Ro RNP), in association with Ro60 and La proteins. The Y RNAs and Ro60 and La proteins are well conserved, but the function of the Ro RNP is not known. Lineage: Eukaryota; Metazoa; Chordata; Mammalia; Primates; Lemuridae. The record is from Rfam by way of RNAcentral.
GGAUGCUCUGACUGCAGUGGUGUUUACAACUAAUUGAUCACAACAGCUACAGUUUCCUUUGUUCCUUCUCCACUCCCACUGCUUCACUUGACUAGCCUAAA